GGAAGAAUCAAUUUACUGGAUGUGAACGUAAUAAAUCACAAUGCUCGGGAUGUGUUGGUUGAGGGGCCAACAGUCACCAGUGAGUUUUGAGCAUCCAUCUUCCAGAACCCACAAUUGCAUCCACUUAUCCACAAUUGUUUGAGGGAGGGAGGGAGACCAUCCUCUGGCAAGUACCUCAACUUUGGGCAAUCUCCAAUACACAAUUGUGUGAGAGAGGAGAGAUGGUUGCGAAGACCGCUUGAUAGUCUUUCCACCUUUCUCAUACUGUCGACGCGAAGAAAGGUUAGAGAGGAAGGGAA
Molecule: long non-coding RNA, 299 nt
Organism: Rhodamnia argentea
Lineage: Eukaryota; Viridiplantae; Streptophyta; Magnoliopsida; Myrtales; Myrtaceae
Exons: 2
Source: RefSeq, a predicted model, not a curated record